AGUCGAGCGGCCCUUCGGGGCAGCGGCGGACGGGUGAGUAACGCGUGGGAACCUACCCAUUGGUGCGGAAUAACAGCGGGAAACUGCUGCUAAUACCGCAUAAGCCCUACGGGGGAAAGAUUUAUCGCCGAUGGAUGGGCCCGCGUUCGAUUAGGUAGUUGGAGGGGUAACGGCCCACCAAGCCUACGAUCGAUAGCUGGUCUGAGAGGAUGAUCAGCCACACUGGGACUGAGACACGGCCCAGACUCCUACGGGAGGCAGCAGUGAGGAAUAUUGGACAAUGGGGGAAACCCUGAUCCAGCCAUGCCGCGUGCGCGAUGAAGGCCUUAGGGUUGUAAAGCGCUUUCACCUGUGACGAUGAUGACGGUAGCGGGAGAAGAAGCCCCGGCUAACUCCGUGCCAGCAGCCGCGGUAAUACGGAGGGGGCAAGCGUUGUUCGGAUUUACUGGGCGUAAAGGGCGCGUAGGCGGCUGUGCAAGUUGGGGGUGAAAGGCCUGGGCUCAACCUAGGAACUGCCCUCAAAACUGCACGGCUCGAGAGUGGGAGAGGAUGGUGGAAUUCCCAGUGUAGAGGUGAAAUUCGUAGAUAUUGGGAAGAACACCGGUGGCGAAGGCGGCCAUCUGGACCAUUUCUGACGCUGAGGCGCGAAAGCGUGGGGAGCGAACAGGAUUAGAUACCCUGGUAGUCCACGCCGUAAACGAUGUCGGCUAGACGUUGCGGGGUCGGCUCGCAGUGUCGCAGCUAACGCGAUAAGCCGACCGCCUGGGGAGUACGG
RNAcentral lists this ribosomal RNA (775 nucleotides) under uncultured bacterium. Its description in RNAcentral is "bacterial SSU rRNA". It matches the Rfam family "Bacterial small subunit ribosomal RNA", at positions 60 to 885 of the family's 1533-position model. The record is from RNAcentral.